UCAGGUAAGACAAGGUGAUGCCAGGUGAGGUGAGACAAGGUGAUAUCAGGUGAGACAAAGUGAUGUCAGGUGAGGUGAGACAAGGUGAUGUCAGACGAGGUGAGACAAGGUG
Molecule: long non-coding RNA, 112 nt
Organism: Haliotis rubra (blacklip abalone)
Lineage: Eukaryota; Metazoa; Mollusca; Gastropoda; Lepetellida; Haliotidae
Exons: 3
Source: RefSeq, a predicted model, not a curated record